GGUGGGGAAGCAGGUGGAGCCCAAACUUGGAUGGCCCCAGCCAUAGGGCCUCCACCAUUCCAGUCAUUACUCCCUCUGUAGCCCCCACAGCACCCCCUGCAGGCCAGGCAGGGUGAGGCAACCCUGCUGAAAGUGGGAGCAACUACAGGGAGUUACAUUGUAAAGAAAAACUCAAAAAUGCACCCUAUCCUGCCAUGUGACCCCAAAUUCCUCUCCUAGGUAUUGAGCCAGGAGGAAUGGUACAUUAGAAUUUUCAUAGUAGCCAAAAGGCAAAAAAGAGCUUACAGGUUCAAAAGGAGAUAAACCCAACUGUGCUACGUUCAUAAGAUGGAAAUCUACUCAGCAAUAAAAAAGGAUAGUAAUACAACACGGUAAUAAUGAUAAAAAUAAAAGAUUCAUAAUGACUCUCACAUAUUGAGUGAAAGAAGGCAGACUCAAAAGACAUACCCUAUGAUUCAUUUCUAUGAAGCUCAAGGACAGGGAAAAAUACAGCGGUUGCCUCAGGAGGUGAAGUUUGGGGACUGAUUAUAAAGGGGCACGAGGAGGGGGAGCCUGGGUAGCUCAGUCAGUUAAGCAUCCGACUUUGGCCCAGGUCAUGAUCUCGCAGUUGGUGGGUUCAAGCCCUGCAUCUGGCUCUGUGCUGACAGCACAGAGCCUGCUUCAGAUUCUGUGUCUCUCUCUCUGCCCCUCCUCUGCUCACACUCGAGCUCUCUCAAAAUAAAUAAACUUUAAAAAAAAAAGGGGGGGGGCAUGAGGGCAUGAGAAAGUUCUUUAUUUUCAUUAGGGAAGUGGUCACAUAGGUAUAUACAUGUGUCAAAACAUUCAACUAUAUACAUAAAGCCUGUGUAUUUCAUAGUAUGUAAAUUUUAUCUAAAAAUGUAAGUGAAACAUGACUGUGUUCAGAAUCUAACGGAAAAGGGUAGACCUUGCUGAACUCCUUUGUGUGGCCAUUCCUCUCAAUCCCUGGAGGCGGCUCUCUGAAGCAGGCAGAGGUUUCCCAUGUCCAGACGGAGAAGGCGUGCAGUGGGGCGGAGCGUGACUUGAUGCAGCCACCUGUCAUACUGAGGAGAACCUGGGACAGGGUUGUGGUCACCACAGACUUCAGGAAGAUGCCUCUUUGGACCAAAACUACAUCAGGUUCUGAGCUGGGCUAUAUGACUGGAUCCCAUGGAGCUCACAGCCCAUGGUGGGAGGCACAGUGGUCACAGGCAUCCAGUCACCUCAAGCAGGGGCACCCCUUGGGUUCUACUUGCCCUCUCCCUGGACUCUCUCAGCCACCCGGGUGAGUCGCCACAUUUUAUGUGAGUAUGAGUUCCCUUUCAGUAAAGUGAGAUCUGAAUUACAUGACAUAAAAUGCAACCAUUUUAAGUGCAUUUGAUAUGCUUUGACGAGUGUAUGUUCCUGUGUAGUCACCACCCUAGUCAAAAUAAAAAACACUUCCAGCACUCCAGAAAGCUUCCUCCUGCCCCUACUGAUGUGACUUCCGUCACAAUUGCUUAGUUUCACCUGUUGUAGAAAUUCAUAAAAAUGUAGUCAUGCAAUAUGUCCCUUUUGAGCCUGGCUUCCUUCAUUCAACAUAGUAUCUGCAAAAUGCGUCUAUAUUGUUGCAUUUGUCAAUGAUUUCUUCCUUCUGGAGCGCUUGGGUGGCUCAGUCACUUUAGAGUCUCUUACUAGUUUUAGCAUAGGUCAUGAUCUGGAGGCUUCGUGGGUUUGAACACUGCAUUAGGCUCCUGGCUGGCAGCUGACUCCUCGUGGGCAGCACUGAGCCUGCUUGAGAUUCUUGCUCUCUCCCUCCCUCUCUGCCCCUCUGCUGUCUCUGUCUCUCUCCAAAUAAA
This is a long non-coding RNA of Acinonyx jubatus (cheetah), 1835 nucleotides long. RefSeq lists it as uncharacterized. The transcript has 2 exons. NCBI's taxonomy places the organism in Eukaryota, Metazoa, Chordata, Mammalia, Carnivora, Felidae. The record is from RefSeq and is a predicted model, not a curated record.